GGGCGGCCUCGGUGGGCGCGGGGGGCCAGCGGCGCCGGAGAGUGGCGCGCUCGCGGAGACGUCGGUCGAGUCCGGGAUCCCGGCGGAGCAGCGACGAGGCCGCCUCGUCAGCGCCCGCGUCCUCCGAGCACGUCCAGUGUCCCCAGCCUGGCGAUCAGGUAGCGAACAGCGCAACUCCGCGACGCUUCGGCUCCCGCCUGGGACUGAGACGCCGGCGAGUUGUAGUUGUCCGACACCCGGGGGGGGACGCGCACUCGCUGUUGCAAUUGAUUACGGAAAAACCAUGACAGGUUUCUGAGAGGACACAGUGGAGGAUGGAAGCCCUGGGAUGGAAAUUUCAGAAAAGCAGCUGCUGCUCCCAGAAGAACUAAAGCUGUGUGUCCACUGACAAAGAAAGGAGGGGACUCAGUCAAUUAUUUGGAAAAUCUGAGACAAGCCUGUACUGCACAACGCACAUGAGGAUGCAGGGCUGCUCCAG
Molecule: long non-coding RNA, 478 nt
Filed under: Heterocephalus glaber (naked mole-rat)
Lineage: Eukaryota; Metazoa; Chordata; Mammalia; Rodentia; Bathyergidae
Description: lncRNA (ENSHGLG00100052535.1)
Source: RNAcentral